This 497-nucleotide ribosomal RNA is filed under the name uncultured bacterium. RNAcentral's name for it is "partial 16S ribosomal RNA". It matches the Rfam family "Bacterial small subunit ribosomal RNA", at positions 28 to 507 of the family's 1533-position model. The record is from RNAcentral.
GAUGAACGCUGGCGGCGUGCCUAAUACAUGCAAGUCGAGCGAACACACCAGGCUUUUUCUCCUCUGACUUUAUCGGCGGACGGGAUCUUCACACUUGGAUAACCUACCUAUAAGACUGGGAUAACUUCGCGAGACCGUAGCUAAUACCCGAUAAUAUAUUGACCCGCAUUGUUCAAGCGUUAAAGACGGUUUUUCUUUCACUUAUAGAUUGCUCCGCGCCGCAUUAGAUAGUUGGUAAGGUAACGGCUUACCAAGGCAACGAUGCGUAGCCGACCUGAGAGGGAGAUCGGCCACACGGGAAGUGAGAAACGGUCCAGACUCCGACGGGAGGAAGCAGUAGGGAAUCUUACGCAAUGGGCGAAAGCGGGACGGAGCAAAGCCGCGGGAGUGAUGAAGGUCUUAGGAUCGGAAAACGAUGUAAUUAGGGAAGAACAAAUGUGUAAGUAACUAUGAACGUCUUGACGGUACCUAAUCAGAAAGCCACGGCUAACUACGUG